This is a long non-coding RNA of Polypterus senegalus (gray bichir), 751 nucleotides long. RefSeq lists it as uncharacterized. Lineage: Eukaryota; Metazoa; Chordata; Cladistia; Polypteriformes; Polypteridae. The record is from RefSeq and is a predicted model, not a curated record. The transcript has 3 exons.
UACAAACAUUCUCUUCUAUUUAUUUCUAGUUUAAGGAAUUAAGUGUGAUUGAGACAUGACGGCUUUAUGUUGUUUUUCUAUAUGCAAUUUCAUUAGGUGAUUCAAGACUUUAUUGUGCCGUUCAAUACUGAAACAUCUGCAUGAUUGCUUGGGCAGUAGGAGACAGCAUUUAAGCAGAAAGUCAUCAAAGAAGCAAAGUCUCUCACUUUGACAGCAGAAGUUCUAAGUUAUAUCAGUGCAAAAGAGAAACAACAGUCUGAAAAUGACUGUAACAGCAACAUUUCCUCUUUCUUGCUGCUGUUUUAUUUGUUACCACCUUCUGCAGAGAGGAACAAGGCUACAAUCAGUCGAACUGAGGCUGUUGACAGGCUUGUACAUUUACAUAAGCAUUUAAGAACAUUUCAGCAGGAGAGAAGGUCACCAACCAUACCUACUUAGAGUAGGACAAACCAAGAAGAGGAUCGACAGUUUUUAUGUGGUUGUGGACAAGCAGCUCAUCCCUUGUGCAGGAACCACCUCCCUGAGUGCCAUUGAUGAACUUUCAAAGUUCAUUACGUUUUUAAUGUCUCCUAUGAAGAAUCUCUAGCAAAUGUCUAGAGCAUUUUAUUUAAUGCUAUCCGUUUUAAAUGAUCACCACUAGCACUUAUUUAUUUUUUACACAAUUGCCAUGCAUGUUGAUGAGCUCAGUGUUACAGAGCAGUGUUUGCACAAAAGGAUUAAUAGCAGCUGUAACCUAUAUGUAAAUGUACAA